Molecule: long non-coding RNA, 2193 nt
Filed under: Macaca mulatta (Rhesus monkey)
Lineage: Eukaryota; Metazoa; Chordata; Mammalia; Primates; Cercopithecidae
Description: lncRNA (ENSMMUG00000055074.1)
Source: RNAcentral
UCAAUGAUCAGAAAAAUGUCACAGCUGGUAAUAAAAACUUUCAAGUCAGAGUAUGUGCCUCCUGGAGACAUCUAAGGACUACACUCUGCCAAUGAGGUGCUUGAUAAUAGUCUUUCAGAUUUCUGAGGAGAAGGCAAACCAGGGUCAGUUGUGGUGGCAAAUCGAAAGGAAAUUUUUGGCUGUUCAUAAAAAUGUAUAAAUAAGGCUCCGAAGCAGCAAAAGGAACCGAUUGCUUCAAUGAGCUCAUUAUCAAACCCAAAACUGGCUGCUUCAAAAGUCUGUAAUGUCAGCUGGGCACAGUGGCUCACGCCAGUAAUCCCAGCAUAUUGGGAGACUGAGGCGGGUGGAUCAGUCAACGUCAGGAAUUUGAGACCAGCCUGGACAACAUGGUGAAACCCCAUCUCUACCAAAAAUACAAAAAUUAGCCAGGUGUGGUGGUGUGCACCUGUAAUCCCAGCUACUUGGGAGGCUGAGAUGGGAGAGUCACUUGGACCCAGGAGGUGGAGGUUGCAGUGAUCUGAGAUCAUGCCACUGCACUCCAACCUGGGUGACAGAGUGAGACUAUCUCAAAACCAAAAGUCUGUAGCGUAAGGGGUGUAACCCCAGAGGAUGUUGGCAGGCUUCCACCUCAAUUGUAAAGGAAAAAACUACAAGAGAAAGUCAAUGACAUAAAUACAGAUGGAGAUGGAUCAAAGAAAUGGCAUAACAAAAAUGAAAAACAUGUAUGAAAGGAACCCUCAAAUGGGAGACACAGCCAGUCUGAGUCACAAAUUAACAAAAUUAAGACAAAAAUAUAGAAAAACAAGAGGCCUAGAAAUUUGAAGUCUAGCUGCCUGAGGUUGAAGGCAGGCUCACACAAUCAAGUUAACAGGCCUGACAACAGAGUGGAAUGUACAAAAACCCAAUCCAAAAUCCCAGAGAGGUUUGCACAAGACUGGAAGGGCUCAGAAGGCAGUUACAUAGAGGAGCCAGUCAAGAGAGUGGGGUGAGGAGUUCUGGUUGUGGAUUUUGAUAGUGAAAUACAUAUAUAUUUUUGUUUGUUUUGAGACAGUCUUACUCUGUUACCCAGGCUGGAGUGACUCGGUCAUGGCUUACUGUAGCCUCGACCUCCCAGGCUGAAGCUCUUCUCCCACCUCCGCCUCCCAAGUAGCUGGGACUAAAGGCAUGUGCCACUACACCUAAUUAAUUAAUUACUUUUUUUUUUUUUUAAUUGAGACAGGGUCUCCCUCUGUCUCCAGGCCGGAGUUCAGUGGUGUGAUCUUGGCUCACUGCAACCUCCUCCUCCCAGGUUCAAGGGAUUCUCCUGCCUCAGUCUCCCGAGUAGCUGGGAUUACAGGCAUGUGCUGCCAUGCCCAGAUAAUUUUUGUAUUUUUUUUGUAGAGAUGGUGUUUCACCUUGUUGGCCAGGAUGGUCUCAAUCUCCUGACCUCAUGAUCCACCCACCUUGGCCUCCCAAAAUGCUGGGAUUACAGGCAUGAGCCACUGUGCUCAGCCUAAUUUUUGCAUUUUUUAUAGAGAUGGGAUUUCACAAUUUUGCCCAGGCUAGCCUUGAACUCCUGGACUCAAACGAUCCACCCACCUUGGCCUCCCAGAGUGCUGAGAUUACAGGCAUGAGAAACCACACCCAGCCUUGAUAAUGAAUUUGAUAAGGAACUGCUUCCUGCCUUAGGGACUUGGAAAGCCCUCUACGUGUUUGAAGUUCAGAAUGAAGGAAUCAUUUCAGUAGUUGAAGCAAAAAUGUUGUAUAUUAUAGAGGAAGAUGAAGGUGCUGGGUGAAUCUGCUUUUGGAAAAAUGAAGAUGAAAAGAUUUUUGGUUUUAAAAAUGCUUUCUGUCAAACCCAUCUAUAAUUCCCCCAGAAUAUAUUCGUAUGGACUAAGGCUUACCAAAAAUAAGGAACAUUGGAGAAACUGCCACCGCCAGGAGGAGCCAAGGGGACAUGAUGACUAAAAGUAAUCUGGUUUCAUGGAGGGGCUACCUAGAAAAAAGACAUUAAAGAAAGACUAAGGAAACCUGAAUAAAGUAUGAGCUGUCAUUAAUAAUAGUGUAACAAAUUCAUUGUAACAAAUGCCCCAUACUCAGGUAGGAUGUGAAUAAUCAGGGAAACUGAAUGUGGGACAUAUGGGAACUCCCCUGUCUUCAGAAUUUUUCUGUAAAUAUAGAACUGUUCUAAAACAAUAAAGACUAUUAAAAAAA